This 240-nucleotide unclassified non-coding RNA is filed under the name soil metagenome. RNAcentral's name for it is "partial contains 5.8S ribosomal RNA, internal transcribed spacer 2, and large subunit ribosomal RNA". The record is from RNAcentral.
AACUGAUACUACCUGCGGGAACCUGCGGAGGGAUCAUUACCGAGUGUUGAUUGUUAUGCAAUCGCCUCCCACCCUUGAUUAUUUAUCCUGUUGCUUCGGCGAGACGUCUUUUUGGAAAAAAAAGCCGUCGACUAGAUGGAUACGACUUCACUGAAGUUUGUAUUUUGUGGGCGUGAGCUCGCCGAAGGUUUUCAAACUCUGAUAAUUUGAAGUCUGAAAAUUCAAAAAAUUGAUUAGAAA